RNAcentral lists this ribosomal RNA (346 nucleotides) under uncultured bacterium. Its description in RNAcentral is "partial 16S ribosomal RNA". It matches the Rfam family "Bacterial small subunit ribosomal RNA", at positions 338 to 681 of the family's 1533-position model. The record is from RNAcentral.
CCUACGGGUGGCAGCAGUGAGGAAUAGUGGUCAAUGGGCGCGAGCCUGAACCAGCCAAGUAGCGUGAAGGAUGACUGCCCUACGGGUUGUAAACUUCUUUUAUAAAGGAAUAAAGUGAGGCACGUGUGCCUUUUUGUAUGUACGUUAUGAAUAAGGAUCGGCUAACUCCGUGCCAGCAGCCGCGGUAAUACGGAGGAUCCGAGCGUUAUCCGGAUUUAUUGGGAUUAAAGGGAGCGUAGAUGGGUUGUUAAGGCAGUUGUGAAAGUUUGCGGCUCAACCGGAAAAUUGCAAUUGCUACUGGCAGUCUUGAGUACAGUUGCGGUAGGCUGCAUUCGUGGUGUAGCGG